GUGGGCAACACAUAAGGUAAGCUUGGGAUGAUACGGAGAAGAAUUGCAUGGCCUUUGUGCAAGAAGGACACAUAAAUUUGUGAAACAUUCCAUAUUUUU
Molecule: non-coding RNA, 99 nt
Organism: Podarcis lilfordi (Lilford's wall lizard)
Lineage: Eukaryota; Metazoa; Chordata; Lepidosauria; Squamata; Lacertidae
Source: the annotation of a GenBank genome assembly